RNAcentral lists this long non-coding RNA (401 nucleotides) under Homo sapiens (human). Its description in RNAcentral is "HSALNT0381806". Lineage: Eukaryota; Metazoa; Chordata; Mammalia; Primates; Hominidae. The record is from RNAcentral.
GCCGGCGACAGAGUGAAAAUGACAAGCAGGCCCGGAGUGCACAGGCAGGCAGGUGUGAGCGUGGAGAUGCCACACGUGUGAAUGAAAACAGCACGUGGGAAGACACGUGUGAGCGACACAGGCACCUUAACAUGGAAGAGGCAGCAGAGAGCAGCACAGAACCCUCGCGCCUAGCAGCGGAGACCCUGUCCUGACCCUAGCAUCACCACUGACUCACGGGCCACCUGCAAGGCCCUCCCCUUCUGUUUCACAAUCUGUAAAGGAGUCUGUCUUAGAUUGACGUUUCCCAGCCUGGUUUGUCUCUCUGGAUCCAUGGUCAAAUAUCCAUUCUAUGCCUGGAUGUGAUCAGGGGUUUGGGAAGCCCAUGGAUUUGGCACUGGAAGCGGGCCACACCACCCUCC